Molecule: transfer RNA, 71 nt
Filed under: Leptopoecile sophiae
Lineage: Eukaryota; Metazoa; Chordata; Aves; Passeriformes; Sylviidae
Description: tRNA-Lys
Source: RNAcentral
CAUUAAGAAGCUAUGGAACAGCACUAGCCUUUUAAGCUAGAGAGAGAGGAGAAACCACUCCUCCUUAAUGG